Molecule: long non-coding RNA, 384 nt
Filed under: Nicotiana benthamiana
Lineage: Eukaryota; Viridiplantae; Streptophyta; Magnoliopsida; Solanales; Solanaceae
Description: long non-coding RNA (NBEN_LNC021390)
Source: RNAcentral
CCUUGUCAACAGCAAUUGGUUUCCCAACAGCAGACGCAAUUGACAGCAGAGACCUUUUCACAGAUAAGUUUGGUGGCAGACCUGGCAUAGAGAUCCAUACAACUGCCAUCGAUGUCUCCUCUUUUUGAUUAAAUCCAAAAGUCCAUGGAAAUGUUCGGAAGAAAUAUUCUUCGCCUUUGGAUUGAAGAUAACCUGUCGGCUUACCAAGGAAGUGAGCAUAGUCAUCGAACAUAUCAAACCUGACUAGAAUGUGCCUAUAUUCCAACUGUCUAACAUUACAACAACCUUUAACAUCAAAUUGCAACAAAAAAAUUCAUCGCACUUCUGAUAAAUCAGGUUUGCCAUUAGAAAAUUUUAUCACAACUCCUUGGUGCAAACCUUCUU